This is a long non-coding RNA of Daphnia pulex (common water flea), 945 nucleotides long. RefSeq lists it as uncharacterized. The transcript has 5 exons. Lineage: Eukaryota; Metazoa; Arthropoda; Branchiopoda; Diplostraca; Daphniidae. The record is from RefSeq and is a predicted model, not a curated record.
GUCUUCGCAGGUCUUCGUGACUGAGGAGUGAGGACGAAAUAUUUGCCACAUGUUUCCGAGACGCUGUCCAAAUUCAUUACGGAAUUGCGGUUUCGAUCUAAGUUUUCAGCCAUGAAAUGUAAUUGGCAAUCUGGCAUAUAAUUUCACUUCGUCAAAUAAUGUGACGUUGGUCGAAACUGUUGUUCAUUUUGCCGAAAUGUCGGCCAUUGUUAUUAGCUGUAUACGGUUGUUUGUCUCAUCUCGUGCAGAAACACUUCUGAGCUGUUGAUGUUCAGGUUGUAGACAGAGAUCCCUUUGCCCAACUGUUGCAGAAAUUGAGAACACGACAAAGUCAGAGCUUCAUGGCUGUUGUAUCAUUACUGGGUUCUGUUGCAGCCAGCUGGGGAAAGGUGUGAUCGAGUCAAGUUGAGCUGUAGCUGCUGCAUGCAGUUUAUCAAGCUGGGUUAAAGUGUCGCUACAGGAAGACUUCUUGAAUUGGAGUUCAUGAUCAGUUUGAUAUUUGAGCUGAUAUGGUGUUGCUGUUUGGUGUUACAGUGAUUUUGCAGUCCCUUUCCAGUUGAGACAUGCUCUCAAAUGGAGCUUGUACAGACUUGCAAUUCAACAUCAUACUUCAAUGUGUCAUUUGCUUAUGUUGGUGUCCGUGCAGUAUAUGCAGUGUUGAACAGUUGGGUAAAAUAGUCAAUGUUGCCUGAUGGCUGUCGGUCUUAUUUUAUCGGCUGCAUUUUGUCGAUAUAUCGUCUCUUGCUACCUGUACCGGCGUUUAGUUUAAUCGUUUGCUGCCGUUCCAUAUACUUGAUCCAUUGGUAACACUGAGGAGAGGUUGCUGAAAUUCAAGACUCGUCAUUUCGUCAAUAAAUUAUGUAGAUGUAGAUAUAAAUUACAAGUGCAUAUCUGGGCUCCCUUCUUCAGUGGCCCCGUUUCCCUAAAUAACCAUUAACCAACGCC